Molecule: ribosomal RNA, 497 nt
Filed under: uncultured bacterium
Lineage: Bacteria
Description: partial 16S ribosomal RNA
Rfam family: Bacterial small subunit ribosomal RNA
Source: RNAcentral
GAUGAACGCUGGCGGCGUGCCUAAUACAUGCAAGUCGAGCGAACAGACGAGGAGCUUGCUCCUCUGACGUUAGCGGCGGACGGGUGAGUAACACGUGGAUAACCUACCUAUAAGACUGGGAUAACUUCGGGAAACCGGAGCUAAUACCGGAUAAUAUAUUGAACCGCAUGGUUCAAUAGUGAAAGACGGUUUUGCUGUCACUUAUAGAUGGAUCCGCGCCGCAUUAGCUAGUUGGUAAGGUAACGGCUUACCAAGGCAACGAUGCGUAGCCGACCUGAGAGGGUGAUAGGCCACACUGGAACUGAGGCACGGUCCAGACUCCUACGGGAGGCAGCAGUAGGGAAUCUUCCGCAAUGGGCGAAAGCCUGACGGAGCAACGCCGCGUGAGUGAUGAAGGUCUUCGGAUCGUAAAACUCUGUUAUUAGGGAAGAACAAAUGUGUAAGUAACUAUGCACGUCUUGACGGUACCUAAUCAGAAAGCCACGGCUAACUACGUG